AAGUCGUAACAAGGUUCCCGUAGGUGAACCUGCGGGAGGAUCAUUACGGAAUUUAACAAUUUCGUUAAGAAACAGGCACCGGUGCAUACGUGUUUUGGGCUACCAUUGGUGGGAUGCCCGGGCCUGAUGAGGAAUUGAACGGUGAAAAAAUUGGUAGCAAACUUGUGCGUUUCGAGAAUCGCAAAUAUCUUGUUGGGGUUGUUAAGGCCACCACUGGCUCUCUGUUUGGCUAACGCCAGGCAGUAGAGUUGGUAUCGGUCGAGAGCUUUGCCUCGAGCAUAGCGAACAUUAAAGAGCUGCGGUUCUAUGCUUGGCUUCGGCUAUGCAUAGCCGCCCCAACGUUAAAACGUUUUUCAUACUGUUUGAAAUGAAACUGAUAAGAUAAAUUGAAAUACAACUACGAGUGGUGGAUCACUCGGCUCACGG
This 426-nucleotide unclassified non-coding RNA is filed under the name fungal sp. Its description in RNAcentral is "partial internal transcribed spacer region". The stretch from base 1 to 46 matches the Rfam family "Eukaryotic small subunit ribosomal RNA", at positions 1786 to 1831 of the family's 1831-position model. Lineage: Eukaryota; Fungi. The record is from RNAcentral.